UACGGGGGGAGCAAGCGUUGUUCGGAUUUACUGGGCGUAAAGGGCGCGUAGGCGGUCAGCACAAGUCAGUUGUGAAAUCUCCGGGCUUAACCCGGAACGGUCAACUGAUACUGUGCGACUAGAGUGCGGAAGGGGCAACUGGAAUUCUUGGUGUAGCGGUGAAAUGCGUAGAUAUCAAGAGGAACACCUGAGGUGAAGACGGGUUGCUGGGCUGACACUGACGCUGAAGCACGAAAGCUAGGGUAGCAAACGGG
This 254-nucleotide ribosomal RNA is filed under the name uncultured bacterium. Its description in RNAcentral is "partial 16S ribosomal RNA". It matches the Rfam family "Bacterial small subunit ribosomal RNA", at positions 524 to 776 of the family's 1533-position model. The record is from RNAcentral.